GAAUUGUGGCCAAUGGGGGGAACCCUGAUCCAGCCAUCCCGCGUGUGUGAUGAAGGCCUUCGGGUUGUCCAGAACUUUUGACAGGGACGAAACAACACCGGCUAAUACACGGUGCCAAUGACGGUACCUGUAGAAUAAGCACCGUCUAACUCCGUGCCAGCAGCCGCGGUAAUACGUAGGGUGCAAGCGUUAAUCGGAAUUACUGGGCGUAAAGGGUACGCAGGCGGCUAGGAAAGAAGGAUGUGAAAUCCCAGGGCUCAACCUUGGAACUGCAUUCUUAACUGCCUAGCUAGAGUAUGUCAGAGGGGGGUAGAAUUCCACGUGUAGCAGUGAAAUGCGUAGAUAUGUGGAGGAAUACCGAUGGCGAAGGCAGCCCCCUGGGAUAAUACUGACGCUCAGGUACGAAAGCGUGGGGAGCAAACA
This 423-nucleotide ribosomal RNA is filed under the name uncultured bacterium. RNAcentral's name for it is "partial 16S ribosomal RNA". It matches the Rfam family "Bacterial small subunit ribosomal RNA", at positions 359 to 774 of the family's 1533-position model. The record is from RNAcentral.